UCCUUUCUUCUCUGCUAGGGUUUCAAAACCCUAGCUUUUGCGCCACCAUCGCCUAUCCACGCUCCUCCGCCAUGGACGGUGGUUGGAGUUUUACAAAUCAGGGCCUUUAGCCCUUGUUUUAGCCCCGUUUGAAAGCCAGGCGUACUUAGCCCUCGAAUAAAAAAAGAAAGCUCUCCCCUUGUCCUCUUUUGAUUCAGUUUUGAAGACGGAGAGAACUCCGACGACGUAACCGUGAGGUGAUCCAAGUAAAUUUCUUCCUUCUUCUUUUUUGUUUUCGUUUACAUAUCUAAAUAAAAUAUAAAGUAAUCAAAGAAAAAAAGAAAAAAAGAACAAGAAUUUAAAACGAAAGUAAAAAAACCUUUGAAGCUUUUCUCUGUUUUUUUUCUGUUUUCGAUUUCUUUUUAAAAAACAUCUGUAAUACAAUAUUUUUUCUUUUUUUAAAAAAAACCCCUUUACAUUUCUGUUCUUUGGCUAUAUAGCCGAAUCCCCCCUUCUAUUACUGUUCUCUCUACUUUGUAUUAUUUCUGCCUCUGUUCUCUUUUGUUUUGUUUGCUGCUUUGGUUUUGCAAGUGUCAGAGGAGCGAUGGGAUGGUGGCGUGCUGCAAGCAUGGCCAAGAGAGGGGUACGGCGCACAUGGGGCUAGGGAGGCGCGGCGCCAAGGAUGAGCUAGGGUUUUUGCCUAGCUGAAAGUUUGUUUAGGUCUGGGCCUGUUAAUUGGGCUUAGGGUUAAAUCUGUUUUGGGCUUGUAAUUGGGUAAUGGGCUAGGUUUAAUUUGGUUUGGUUUUAUUGGGCCUCGGGCAAAAUUUGGGCCUUACAAUUGUGUCAUAAAAAUAGGUGAUAUUGGCAAUUUAUUAUCCCCAACCCAAUUUUACUAUUUAUUCCAGGCCAUUUGGAUGAUCAUUUUUUAAUUAGGAUCAUUUAUGUAAAUAAUUAAUUUUUGAGGGUCAUUUGAGUAAAAUAACCGUUAGAACUAAGCAACUAGGUAUGCUUUGGAACCAUUCUCUUGGAUAAGACAAUAAAAUUUUCUUUUUAUAGCAGAUUUUUUUUAUUUUGUCAAUUUUUUAAAAUUAAGAUGAUGUCCUACAUCAAUAAAAAAUAUUUCUAUCCUUUUCUGUAUAUUUAAAAGUAUUGAUAUUUUUUAAAAAGUUUUAAUUGGUAUUGUCUAAAUAACGGUA
RNAcentral lists this long non-coding RNA (1175 nucleotides) under Gossypium barbadense (sea-island cotton). RNAcentral describes it as "long non-coding RNA (GBAR_LNC010983)". The record is from RNAcentral. Lineage: Eukaryota; Viridiplantae; Streptophyta; Magnoliopsida; Malvales; Malvaceae.